RNAcentral lists this unclassified non-coding RNA (346 nucleotides) under fungal sp. Its description in RNAcentral is "partial internal transcribed spacer region". The stretch from base 1 to 46 matches the Rfam family "Eukaryotic small subunit ribosomal RNA", at positions 1786 to 1831 of the family's 1831-position model. Lineage: Eukaryota; Fungi. The record is from RNAcentral.
AAGUCGUAACAAGGUUUCCGUAGGUGAACCUGCGGAAGGAUCAUUAUUGAAUGCAACGGUCAAGGUUGUUGCUGGUUCCAUUGAGUUCAUGUGCACACCUUACUAUUGUCUUAUUUCCACCUGUGCAUUUCUUGUAACCGCAUCCAAUUUUAAGUUUUGGGUUAUGCUUGAAAAAGAGCAUGCUAGAGUCUGAGUAUAUAUGUUUAUGCCCUUACUUUGCCAAAAUUUAUGUUGGUUUUGGUUAUGUUUUAUUUUCACUGUUUUUAUAUGUAUUGAAAGUCAUUAGGGGUUUUUGAAAAACCUUUAAUCUUUAACACAACUAUUGGCAACGGAUCUCUUGGCUCAC